UUUGCCUUUUUCAUACUAAACAUAAAAUCAUUCCGCGUCAAAGACUCGACAGACACGGAAGUGCAAAGUGGACGUUCCAUUAUAGUUCGGUCUGUGUGUACAAAACAAAAGAGAAGAUAAUCGCGUUCAAGGCCAACCAGCUAUAGUGUGUCGUGUCGCUACGUGAAGUGAUUCCGUACCCGGCACAUUGCGAUGUGGCUGUAUUGCUGCGAAGCUACCGGCUGCAGUUAAUAGAUAAUCCUCGUUCAAGGCCAACUGACAAGUGAGUUGUGUCGCUGCGUGAAGUCAUUCCGCACCCGGUUCGCUGCUGUGUGGCUGUUUUGGCGCUGUUGUGUGGCUGUAACGGCUGCAGCUUCGAAUGAUCGGACAACCAAACCUGCUGCAAGGAAGAAGGAAAACGUUUUUCCUCAGUUUCGUAACACGGAUGUACAAAAAUGAUUUCUUGUGGACAUUCUAUCGAGCCGGACCGAUAGAACUCUCAUAAAGGCAACAAAAUAACAUGUAUUGUAUCGUGUUGCGCGGCUUGGAAGAGAAAAACGUUCCCGUCCCAGUGUCGCAUGGAAGCAGAUUGUUGCGUGUUUGAUAUUGCCGAUGGUAGACUUGAGUAUGAAGAUCGAAAUUCUGCUGUGAUGUGAAACUAUAACCGUUUUGUUUUAAGACGCAAUAGCGUAAGUGCUGCGUUUCUGUUAUCUGCUGCCAUCCAGCACGAGAACAAUUAUGAAUUACAACCGGCAACACUGGCAAGUUUGUUCGUUUAUCAUCAUUUCGGAUAACCAUUCGCCGAUGAUUCUAGUUCUCCCGUUUUCUCUAGUAGAAUUGCCUGCCAUUUCCAAUAAUUCUGCAGCUACCGAAAACUCCAUAACAGCCGCCAGAUAGACAGGUGCUUAAGUAUCAACGCGCCCAGGGCGAUCAGCAAGAAAUUGAAACCCGGCUUUUUUUUCUCCGUCACGAUCAGCAUCCAACGUUCGUGUAGUAUCGGAACAGAAAGCGACCUCGAGUAAACAACAACAACAACAACAACAACAAAUCGUUUACAAAGUCCGAUCGGUUGUAUCCGUUAGUGUCGACUGUGCUUGUGAAGAUAGGUGAUGAUUGGUUGCUCGGUAUGAUUUAGACAAUCGAUGCUAUUUAUCAAUUUUUCAAUAGUGUAUUUUAAACAAUAGGUUAUUUUUGUUACAUACAUUUAACCGCAAAAGAAUUUCUUAUCGGUUGAUGCAAAAACCUCAAAAUUUUGAAAAGAAAUGACUGAUAUAUAAGCGCUCAAAACCUGACCACUUUUCCCUGGUUGAGUUACUAGAUUUUCUAAUUCAGGCGCUUAACUUCGAUAUAGACGUUAGUCAAUGUCAAAAAUCUAAAUCAAGAAUAAUGUACUUACAGUUGUAGAAAGUGUAUUGAAAUAUAAUUUUCACUUGUGCCUUGUGUCCUUGCAUGUGUAUAGUUUUAUGAACUCAAUUUAUUUGAUCAAUUCUCUGGUUAGGGCAAUUAGGUGUCAUAUCUGUUACAAUUUAUUUGUGUCAUAAUUUUGUGAAAAAUGAACUGUGAAAUGCAUAUUUCUAGUGAUGCUUCGAUUAUACCACGAUCGAGAAAAAAUCGUGUCAUAUACUUGAAACAUAUUUUAUGUUAUUUGAAGCAUUUGUUUUUUUUUUUUUUUUUUUUUUUUUGU
Wyeomyia smithii (pitcher-plant mosquito) is the source of this 1663-nucleotide long non-coding RNA. RefSeq lists it as uncharacterized. NCBI's taxonomy places the organism in Eukaryota, Metazoa, Arthropoda, Insecta, Diptera, Culicidae. The transcript is spliced from 3 exons. The record is from RefSeq and is a predicted model, not a curated record.